This 253-nucleotide ribosomal RNA is filed under the name uncultured bacterium. Its description in RNAcentral is "partial 16S ribosomal RNA". It matches the Rfam family "Bacterial small subunit ribosomal RNA", at positions 524 to 776 of the family's 1533-position model. The record is from RNAcentral.
GACAGAGGGUGCAAACGUUGUUCGGAUUUACUGGGCGUAAAGCGCGUGUAGGCGGCUUUGCAAGUCGGAUGUGAAAUCCCACGGCUCAACCGUGGAAGUGCAUCCGAAACUGCAUCGCUGGAGUCUCGGAGAGGAGGGUGGAAUGCUUGGUGUAGAGGUGAAAUUCGUAGAUAUCAAGCAGAACACCUGCGGCGAAGGCGGCCUUCUGGACGAUGACUGACGCUGAGACGCGAAAGCGUGGGGAGCAAACAGG